GAUGAACGCUGGCGGCGUGCCUAAUACAUGCAAGUCGAGCGAACGGACGAGAAGCUUGCUUCUCUGAUGUUAGCGGCGGACGGGUGAGUAACACGUGGAUAACCUACCUAUAAGACUGGGAUAACUUCGGGAAACCGGAGCUAAUACCGGAUAAUAUUUUGAACCGCAUGGUUCAAAAGUGAAAGACGGUCUUGCUGUCACUUAUAGAUGGAUCCGCGCUGCAUUAGCUAGUUGGUAAGGUAACGGCUUACCAAGGCAACGAUGCAUAGCCGACCUGAGAGGGUGAUCGGCCACACUGGAACUGAGACACGGUCCAGACUCCUACGGGAGGCUGCAGUAGGGAAUCUUCCGCAAUGGGCGAAAGCCUGACGGAGCAACGCCGCGUGAGUGAUGGAGGUCUUCGGAUCGUAAAACUCUGUUAUUAGGGAAGAACAUAUGUGUAAGUAACUGUGCACAUCUUGACGGUACCUAAUCAGAAAGCCACGGCUAACUACGUGCCAGCAGCCGCGGUAAUACGUAGGUGGCAAGCGUUAUCCGGAAUUAUUGGGCGUAAAGCGCGCGUAGGCGGUUUUUUAAGUCUGAUGUGAAAGCCCACGGCUCAACCGUGGAGGGUCAUUGGAAACUGGAAAACUUGAGUGCAGAAGAGGAAAGUGGAAUUCCAUGUGUAGCGGUGAAAUGCGCAGAGAUAUGGAGGAACACCAGUGGCGAAGGCGACUUUCUGGUCUGUAACUGACGCUGAUGUGCGAAAGCGUGGGGAUCAAACAGGAUUAGAUACCCUGGUAGUCCACGCCGUAAACGAUGAGUGCUAAGUGUUAGGGGGUUUCCGCCCCUUAGUGCUGCAGCUAACGCAUUAAGCACUCCGCCUGGGGAGUACGACCGCAAGGUUGAAACUCAAAGGAAUUGACGGGGACCCGCACAAGCGGUGGAGCAUGUGGUUUAAUUCGAAGCAACGCGAAGAACCUUACCAAAUCUUGACAUCCUUUGACAACUCUAGAGAUAGAGCUUUCCCCUUCGGGGGACAAAGUGACAGGUGGUGCAUGGUUGUCGUCAGCUCGUGUCGUGAGAUGUUGGGUUAAGUCCCGCAACGAGCGCAACCCUUAAGCUUAGUUGCCAUCAUUAAGUUGGGCACUCUAAGUUGACUGCCGGUGACAAACCGGAGGAAGGUGGGGAUGACGUCAAAUCAUCAUGCCCCUUAUGAUUUGGGCUACACACGUGCUACAAUGGACAAUACAAAGGGCAGCGAAACCGCGAGGUCAAGCAAAUCCCAUAAAGUUGUUCUCAGUUCGGAUUGUAGUCUGCAACUCGACUACAUGAAGCUGGAAUCGCUAGUAAUCGUAGAUCAGCAUGCUACGGUGAAUACGUUCCCGGGUCU
Molecule: ribosomal RNA, 1372 nt
Filed under: uncultured bacterium
Lineage: Bacteria
Description: bacterial SSU rRNA
Rfam family: Bacterial small subunit ribosomal RNA
Source: RNAcentral